This 59-nucleotide transfer RNA is filed under the name Heterocephalus glaber (naked mole-rat). It matches the Rfam family "tRNA", at positions 7 to 64 of the family's 71-position model. From Rfam's summary of the family: Transfer RNA (tRNA) molecules are approximately 80 nucleotides in length. Their secondary structure includes four short double-helical elements and three loops (D, anti-codon, and T loops). Lineage: Eukaryota; Metazoa; Chordata; Mammalia; Rodentia; Bathyergidae. The record is from Rfam by way of RNAcentral.
GUAGCUCAGUGGUAGAGUGCAUGCUUUGUAUGCAUGAGGUCCUGUGUUCAAUCCUCAGC